CCUACGGGUGGCAGCAGUGGGGGAUAUUGGACAAUGGGGGGAACCCUGAUCCAGCGACGCCGCGUGAGUGAAGAAGUAUUUCGGUAUGUAAAGCCCUGUUAGCAGGGAAGAAAACACUGACGGUACCUGACCAAGAAGCCUCGGCUAACUACGGGCAAGCAGCCGCGGUAAUACGGAGGGGGCAAGCGUGAUCCGGAUUUACUGGGUGUAAAGGGCGCGUAGACGGCUGUGCAAGGCUGGAGUGAAAGGCGGGGGCCCAACCCCCGGACUGCCUUGGAAACUGUAUGGCUGGAGUGCAGGAGAGGUAAGCGGAAUGCCGGGUGUAGCGGUGAAAUGCGUAGAUAUUAGGAGGAACACCAGUGGCGAAGGCGGCUUACUGGACUGUAACUGACGUUGAGGCUCGAAAGCGUGGGGAGCAAACAGGAUUAGAUACCCCUGUAGUC
Molecule: ribosomal RNA, 443 nt
Filed under: uncultured bacterium
Lineage: Bacteria
Description: partial 16S ribosomal RNA
Rfam family: Bacterial small subunit ribosomal RNA
Source: RNAcentral